RNAcentral lists this transfer RNA (72 nucleotides) under Urocitellus parryii (Arctic ground squirrel). RNAcentral's name for it is "Spermophilus parryii (Arctic ground squirrel) tRNA". It matches the Rfam family "tRNA". Rfam says of the family: Transfer RNA (tRNA) molecules are approximately 80 nucleotides in length. Their secondary structure includes four short double-helical elements and three loops (D, anti-codon, and T loops). Further hydrogen bonds mediate the characteristic L-shaped molecular structure. tRNAs have two regions of fundamental functional importance: the anti-codon, which is responsible for specific mRNA codon recognition, and the 3' end, to which the tRNAs corresponding amino acid is attached (by aminoacyl-tRNA synthetases). tRNAs cope with the degeneracy of the genetic code in two manners: having more than one tRNA (with a specific anti-codon) for a particular amino acid; and 'wobble' base-pairing, i.e. permitting non-standard base-pairing at the 3rd anti-codon position. Lineage: Eukaryota; Metazoa; Chordata; Mammalia; Rodentia; Sciuridae. RNAcentral also lists the same sequence under 1 other name. The record is from Rfam by way of RNAcentral.
UGGGUUGUGGCUGAGUGGUAGAGCACUUGCCUAGCAUGUGUGAGGCCCUGGGUUCAAUUCUCAGCACUGCAU